UACGUAGGGUGCAAGCGUUGUCCGGAAUUAUUGGGCGUAAAGGGCGCGUAGGCGGCCAGCCAAGUCGAGUGUUAAAUUUCAGGGCUUAACUCUGAACAGUCGCUCGAUACUGGCAGGCUAGAGUGUGGAAGAGGGUGCUGGAAUUCCCGGUGUAGCGGUGAAAUGCGUAGAUAUCAUUUGGAACGCCAAUGGUGAAAACAGGUAGCUGGGGCUGUGCUGACGCUGAGACACGAAAGCCAGGGGAGCAAACGGG
Molecule: ribosomal RNA, 253 nt
Filed under: uncultured bacterium
Lineage: Bacteria
Description: partial 16S ribosomal RNA
Rfam family: Bacterial small subunit ribosomal RNA
Source: RNAcentral